CUGAGAGAGGAAGCUCAGUCUACGGGAUCCCUGAGUACUCCGGGAUGUGAGUAGGAGUCAAAGCCAUGCUGGAGACAAAGAGAUGCUGUAGUGCAGUGAAAAUCAGCUCAAGCCCUGCCUGCAUCCCCUCUGUGAAGUAAGAGACCUGCCAGCACUGGCUGCAGAGAGGCAAGUGAUGCUGCUUUGGGGUCUUGAGCAGCCAAGCUGUACUCUCAGGGGCCAAACUUCACACCACAUUUUGUAAUUUCAGAUACCAGGUGGCCUGAAGGUAUAUUAUGCUUAUUUUACAAGUUAGAAAUUGAAGCACGGAAGAAGAAAGUUCUAGAGUAUCCACACAUUUUGUAAGUCUAAACUGAAAUGUCUGAGAAUAAGGAUAAACAGAGAACUGAGUAUGCUUCAGAGUCCUGAGCCCCUGUGCUCUUCCAAGUAAUGGGGGUGAAGAGGUUUGAACAUUAACAAGAUGAUGAGGUUCUAGAAAGAGAGGAGAAGAGAACUGAGUCUUCACUGUUAGUCUGUGAGGGUCUGCACAAGGAAAAGUAUCUAGAAUUAAUUAAAUUUCCAGCUGUUUUAGAGGACUGAGUGCAAUUCAUACAUUUGCUGGGAAGGAGAGCUGCCAAAAGAUGAUAUUCUGUUUACAAGUGCAGCACAAAACCAAAAAUAACUGAGGGUUUUCUGAU
Molecule: long non-coding RNA, 677 nt
Filed under: Numida meleagris (helmeted guineafowl)
Lineage: Eukaryota; Metazoa; Chordata; Aves; Galliformes; Numididae
Description: lncRNA (ENSNMEG00000015013.1)
Source: RNAcentral